CUUUCCCUGCAUCGGAAAUAGAAAGCAGAUAGCAUUUUUGGCAACCAUUUUCUACGGGGAUUUUUAAGUCCCGAACAUACCUUGAGCCCAAACAAGCCAGUCUGUAGUAGGAUUUGGGAGAUCGUGGACGUCAGAGCCAGCUCUUUACACAUGAACUCCUGAGGGACGACGAGUCAGAAAGCAUGAACUUUGCCGAGGUUCAUUUUAGUGCUCAAAUGGCUGGUUUUCUGCACCAACGCCAUAUUCUGUCAUAAAUCAACUUCGUAUCACAGUUGGUUAAGACAAUCUCUUGAGCAACUAUGUCGGGGGGGAUUUGUCUGCUGGAGAAGGCUUUGAAACAACAGUUGCAAAGCACAGUGACGUGAUGAAAACACGACGAAGGUGCCGCGGGGUCUGCUUGUGAAACCCAGGACUGCGUCCUUCCCAUCACACCCUUCUGGGUCUGUGUCUACACUCCGUCCUGACUCUCUCCAUCUGCAUGAGGUUGAAGGGGUUCCCCACUGCUGAGCACCGAUUGAAUACUUCAGGAAAUCUGUUUUCCUUGAAAGUCUGACCCUAAGGAAAGCAGCCAGCUGCCUAGUAUUCGCACUUGAACUUUUUGCUGUUCUCCUUCUGUGCCAAGUUUUCAUUUUGCUGAUCGGAUGGAUGAACAGAACGGUAUUGGGGGUCCCCUCCUUAGCCCGGGACCCGGCAGACUUGAGGCUCUCAACAAAUGGCUCACGAAUGGACGAAGCAAAUCAGCGACCCAGUGCGUGAAUCCAUGCGGGGUCACUUAGGGUCCCUUACAGAACGAUGACCUGAACCCAGAGGGGAGUUUCCUGAAGGUUGAGGGGAAAUGGAGUCCUUGGGAGCCAUGAAGCUGAGCAAGUGGCCUGGCAGAAAGCCCUGGUGGGGUGGCUACCAAACCAUUAUGAGGAGCGACAGAAACCCCUCAUCGUGCUGCUGAAUUAAGGAGAAGACUCAACCUGGGUGAUCAUAAUGAAGAAAGAGUGCUCGAGAUUCUGGCCCAGACUGGUACAGAAUUUUCCACCUGCCUGUCUCCUCCCCAGAGCACACUCAAGAGAGUCACCAGCAUCCUUAAGGACACCCUCAUCACGUGUCUGAAACUCACGAAGGAAAUAGCAAGUCAACCCAGAGUUUCGCCUCCUCCCUGCUGCCCCCCAGGCCAGUGCCAGGGCAGAUGCAUCGUUGUCCUCGAAGUCAUGCAGGUAAUUGGCUCGUGGUAAAUACGGAAGAGAACACGUGUCUUCCACGGAAUCCUCUGGGCCCAGCUGCACAAUCAAACUAUAGCCAAGCUUCAUGUUCUUUUUAAUGUAAGGAAAACAAAACUAUUUCAGAUGUACUGUGAACACUUAACAUAUGCCCACAUCUGUGCCGUGGGCAUGACUUACACCAGCUUGGUGAGGUUGCAUUUUACAGAAAGGCAACUGAGCUCGAAGAAACCUGGUGUUGUGUUGGCAGCAGGAGGCCCAGACCCGGGUGGCAUGGGGCCCGCCCUUGAGUCUGCACCCUGGCCAAGGGGACGCCCUCCCUCGCUCUGAGCUCAGGGACUCCGUUGGUGGGCGGAGGUGUCCCCGCGCAGAGAUGCAGAGGUGCAGGCUGAGGAGGGGGGGGAGCACCAGACGCUGUGGGUGACAGCACAGUGCCCUUGGCUGAGUUAGAACAUUCUGGAACCACUGCCAGAUGGUUGGCUCUGCAAUUCUGAGUGCUGCUCACUUCUGGAUGACCUCUAGUGAGCCAGGCUUGUUUAUAGGACGGGAUAGCUGGUUGCCUGCCUCCGAAUCUGACAGAGAAAGAAUUCACUGCGCUAACCAAUCCCUGAGACGGCUCCUUGGGGGGGAGGGGGCUCAGACACGGCGACAUAAGUUGACUUUGUUUUUAAAACAGUUUUAGUUUCACAGACAAAUGUGAGGACAUCACUGCGGCCCCCCCCCCACGCCAGAUAGCGCACCGUUUCCCUAUAACUGACAUCUUGUGUUACUACAUUUGUUACCACUGAUGAAAACAUGUUGAAAAUGUAUUAUUAACUAAAACCCACUUUAUUCAGAC
Molecule: long non-coding RNA, 2049 nt
Organism: Felis catus (domestic cat)
Lineage: Eukaryota; Metazoa; Chordata; Mammalia; Carnivora; Felidae
Exons: 3
Source: RefSeq, a predicted model, not a curated record